RNAcentral lists this non-coding RNA (92 nucleotides) under Stenotrophomonas indicatrix. The record is from RNAcentral. Lineage: Bacteria; Pseudomonadati; Pseudomonadota; Gammaproteobacteria; Lysobacterales; Lysobacteraceae.
GUCUUUGGCGGGCGGUGCGUGGAGGGCCUCGUGCCCGCCGGCGUUCCAGCGUCUAUCACCGGUAUUGGAGCCACGCAUCGCCUGCCACCCUC